GGGUCAGUAGGUUGGUCGUGCCACCGGUACGUACUGGUCUCACUGAUUCCUCCUUCCUGAAGAACCGUAAUGCCAUUAAUUUGGUGUUGCGUGGAAGCAGGACUGUUACUUUGAAAAAAUUAGAGUGUUUAAAGCAAGCUAACGCUUGAAUACAUUAGCAUGGAAUAAUGAAAUAGGACGAUCGAUCCUAUUUUGUUGGUUUCUAGGAUUGACGUA
RNAcentral lists this ribosomal RNA (216 nucleotides) under Glomeromycotina sp. RNAcentral's name for it is "partial small subunit ribosomal RNA". The stretch from base 40 to 216 matches the Rfam family "Eukaryotic small subunit ribosomal RNA", at positions 686 to 864 of the family's 1831-position model. The record is from RNAcentral. Lineage: Eukaryota; Fungi; Glomeromycota.